This 1037-nucleotide ribosomal RNA is filed under the name Microbacterium yannicii. RNAcentral's name for it is "bacterial SSU rRNA". It matches the Rfam family "Bacterial small subunit ribosomal RNA", at positions 81 to 1129 of the family's 1533-position model. Lineage: Bacteria; Bacillati; Actinomycetota; Actinomycetes; Micrococcales; Microbacteriaceae. The record is from RNAcentral.
UGCUGGGUGGAUCAGUGGCGAACGGGUGAGUAACACGUGAGCAACCUGCCCCUGACUCUGGGAUAAGCGCUGGAAACGGCGUCUAAUACUGGAUACGAACCACAGUCGCAUGGCUGGUGGUUGGAAAGAUUUUUUGGUUGGGGAUGGGCUCGCGGCCUAUCAGCUUGUUGGUGAGGUAAUGGCUCACCAAGGCGUCGACGGGUAGCCGGCCUGAGAGGGUGACCGGCCACACUGGGACUGAGACACGGCCCAGACUCCUACGGGAGGCAGCAGUGGGGAAUAUUGCACAAUGGGCGCAAGCCUGAUGCAGCAACGCCGCGUGAGGGAUGACGGCCUUCGGGUUGUAAACCUCUUUUAGCAAGGAAGAAGCGAAAGUGACGGUACUUGCAGAAAAAGCGCCGGCUAACUACGUGCCAGCAGCCGCGGUAAUACGUAGGGCGCAAGCGUUAUCCGGAAUUAUUGGGCGUAAAGAGCUCGUAGGCGGUUUGUCGCGUCUGCUGUGAAAUCCCGAGGCUCAACCUCGGGCCUGCAGUGGGUACGGGCAGACUAGAGUGCGGUAGGGGAGAUUGGAAUUCCUGGUGUAGCGGUGGAAUGCGCAGAUAUCAGGAGGAACACCGAUGGCGAAGGCAGAUCUCUGGGCCGUAACUGACGCUGAGGAGCGAAAGGGUGGGGAGCAAACAGGCUUAGAUACCCUGGUAGUCCACCCCGUAAACGUUGGGAACUAGUUGUGGGGUCCUUUCCACGGAUUCCGUGACGCAGCUAACGCAUUAAGUUCCCCGCCUGGGGAGUACGGCCGCAAGGCUAAAACUCAAAGGAAUUGACGGGGACCCGCACAAGCGGCGGAGCAUGCGGAUUAAUUCGAUGCAACGCGAAGAACCUUACCAAGGCUUGACAUACACGAGAACACCCUAGAAAUAGGGGACUCUUUGGACACUCGUGAACAGGUGGUGCAUGGUUGUCGUCAGCUCGUGUCGUGAGAUGUUUGGGUUAAGUCCCGCAACGAGCGCAACCCUCGUUCUAUGUUGCCAGCACGUAAU